UGUAUUAUGGAUUUCAUCUCUUGUUAACAUUAAUCAUCAAAAAAAUCCAAAAAAAAAAAAAGAAUAACAAAGGGUUAUUGUUGAUUUUGUGAAAUCGUUUGAAAAUGGCGACAAUUAACCCUUUUGAUUUGUUGGGUGAUGAUGCUGAAGACCCUUCACAGUUGAUUGCUGCUGAGCAACAGAAAGCGGCGGCUGCAGCGGCGGCGGCGCCCAAGAAGGGGCUGGACCAAGGCAAACAAACUGGUGCUGCCAAGAAGCCCGCUCAGUUACCUUCCAAACCACUUCCCCCUUCUCAGGCUGGUCAGUUUUCAAUUUCAUUUCCAUAAAGUUUUAAUCUUUAUUAGUUUCACGUUUUUGUGUAAUGUAAAAAUUGAUGCUUUUUUCAUUUAAUUUAUUGGGUUUUAUUUGAUUUUUUUAUUAUUUGCUUUUACAUAAUGUGGGUUUUGAUUAUUUGUUGAUUUAUUCUAUUUGUUGAUUGUGUUUGAUGUUUUGACUUUUGACCAAUUUGGGUUUUAGGGUUUUGUGUUUAAUGAUUGAUGCUUUUUUCAUUCAGUUUUGAUUAUUUGUUGUUAAUUCUGUUUGAUGUUUGGAAUUUUUUUAUCAAUUUGUAUGUUUAGGUCAUGAAGAUUGAUGUUGUUUUAAUGAGUUUGAUGUGAUUUAUUAUAUACUUCCAGAAAAUGCGGGGUUUGGAUGAUUUAUUUAUGAUUUAUUCUUUUUGUUGAUAGUGUUUGAUGUAUGGACUUUUGACCAAUUUGUGUUUUAGGGCUUAAUGUAUUGGUUGAUUUAUUAGUGUCAAUGAUUGGUUUAGGUAAUGUGUGAGAGAGAUUGUUAUUGAAUCUGAUGACAUAAGUGUUGUUUGUGUUCACGUGUUUGUGUGUUGUUGAACAUACUUUUUUAUCUGAUGUGUAAUUGAAACCUAGGUUGUUGUUGUUUUACUACUUUAGUCCAUGGCUAUUUGAAAAGUAAGGUUUCUUUGUUGAGAGGCAAUAAAUGCAAAAGAAAAUUGGUUUAAUUUUGUGAUAACCAGAAUUGGAAGAUGAAAUUGUUCUGUAUUGCUUUGUUGAUGUAUUUAUUCAUUCCUUUUGUGUUAGUUAACUUUUUGUUGGAAUUUGAUGAGAUGUUACAUUGAUUGUUAAAUUGUGAUUAUGUAGAUGAUGUUUCUUGUGUUGUUUCCCUUCUAUGCUGAUAUUUUUCUUUCCUGUGCUAUUGAUAGUGAGGGAGUCCAGAAAUGAGCCAUCUCGUGGGGGCCGUGGAGGUGGACGUGGAUUUGGACGUGGUCGCGGUGAUGGUGGCUUUCGUCGUGAUUUCUCCAAUGAUGACAACUCAUUGCCUGCUCCUCCUGCCAAUCAAGGUUCUUUUGAAGGAGAUUCUGCAAAUCCCACUGAGAGACGUGGGUAUGGUGCACCCCGUACUCCUUAUCGUGUUGGCGGUGGC
Molecule: long non-coding RNA, 1434 nt
Filed under: Medicago truncatula (barrel medic)
Lineage: Eukaryota; Viridiplantae; Streptophyta; Magnoliopsida; Fabales; Fabaceae
Description: long non-coding RNA (MTRU_LNC005807)
Source: RNAcentral